Molecule: long non-coding RNA, 1326 nt
Organism: Alosa alosa (allis shad)
Lineage: Eukaryota; Metazoa; Chordata; Actinopteri; Clupeiformes; Clupeidae
Exons: 4
Source: RefSeq, a predicted model, not a curated record
UCAGGCUGCCAGGCUGUAUUGACAGCUGACACAAAUAUGUAGAGCCAAUCAGUAUCUAGGGGACGUCAUGCAAAACGGAAAUGCAAAGUCAAACACCGGGAGGAAGGGAGAACAGCCAGAAAGGAGAGCGCAGAGAUGCAUUCAAAUUGGACAGCAGUGAAGGUCCACUGCAUGUUCACAGAGAACUACCUCCUCAGACUGUUCUGAGUGUUCUCAAACGUUUGCAGAGAACUCAAGGCAGACAGAAAGCUGUUUCUAAUCCCCCUGCCAAUCAGGAGGCCAUCAGGCACACCUGGGCACACCUGAGCACACCUGGACACCUGCUGCAGACAGAGGAAGAAAGAGCAGAGGCACAGAACGUGGGCCAGAUCAUGUUACAACACACACACACACACAUCUCCAUGGUCGAGAAGACACAGAGACAGCACUGCUGCAGACAGGCAGUGGUGCAAAAAACAACUCUGUGAUGCCUGUCAAGAGAACACUGGACAGAGGAGCGAGGGAGAGAGUGAAACAGAGGGAGAGAGAGAGAGAGGCAGAAAAGAGGAGACACAAGAGAAAAAGAGCUGAAUCCAGAGGCUGAUUUCAUAGUCUUCACACGUUAUGGGUCCCAUCUGAACAACCAACACAGAGUUCAGACACUAAGAAAGAGCAGUGAGAGAGAAAGGGAGGGAAAAAGAGAGAGAGAGAGAAAGGGAGGGAGUAUAUAUGUCAGUAUAUGUGUGUAUGUAUAUGUGUGUAUGUUUAUGCUUACAGUACAUUGGCCCUCAUUUAUCAACAAAGCGUAGAAACUAGCAUAGAUCUGAGUGCAGAAAUCAUCUUACGACGGGGCUAUUUGACAUCUUUAGAACAGUAAACAUUAUCGGAGGUGUCAAAUGUUGAGUUACUCCAGUCUAGAUUUUUUUACUUUCAUCACUCCUAUGAUGUAUUGCUAUUGUCUAUUCAAAGUGAAAUGCCUGUUUCGAAGUUAACUGAUGGUCUGUGACGUGCGCCUGUGACGCGAGUUUGUGUGAAAGAAUAGCCUGGCUAUCCUAAGUCAUCAAAUGUGUCAACAUAACAGGCUACAUUAUGGCAAAUAGGCUACAAAUGUGCAGGCAAGUCUUAGGUCCAAGAUAUUCCAUAAAUUCAACUCUUCAACUUUCCAACCCACCGCCAAUUUACUGCUGCAUGGUGCUAUGCCGCCUGAAAAACUUGCAUACACGAGAAAGAGGUAGUUGGAGUCUGGAGAAAAAUCAAGACAGAGCAAGCGAAAGAGAGAGAGAAGGAACAGGGGAUGGAGACUGCAAAAGAGGGGACAGGAAAUGGCCUCUCAUGAAGUAUCUUCGU